This 253-nucleotide ribosomal RNA is filed under the name uncultured bacterium. Its description in RNAcentral is "partial 16S ribosomal RNA". It matches the Rfam family "Bacterial small subunit ribosomal RNA", at positions 524 to 776 of the family's 1533-position model. The record is from RNAcentral.
UACGUAGGUGGCAAGCGUUGUCCGGAUUUACUGGGCGUAAAGGGCGUGCAGGCGGUCUGUUAAGUCUAGGGUGAAAGCUCCCGGCUCAACUGGGAGAGGUCCUUGGAUACUGGCGGACUUGAGGGAGGCAGAGGAAAGUGGAAUUCCCGGUGUAGUGGUGAUAUGCGUAGAUAUCGGGAGGAACACCAGUGGCGAAGGCGGCUUUCCGGGCCUUACCUGACGCUGAGACGCGAAAGCGUGGGGAGCGAACCGG